RNAcentral lists this long non-coding RNA (318 nucleotides) under Mytilus galloprovincialis (Mediterranean mussel). Lineage: Eukaryota; Metazoa; Mollusca; Bivalvia; Mytilida; Mytilidae. The record is from RNAcentral.
GUCUAUUCUUGUCAUUUCAAUUGUGUAUAAAUACUUGCUUAUAAUUUCAAUAAGCAAGAUUUGGACUCAGGACUUUACACUGAACACAGUCCAUCUGUAAUAAAAGUAUUAGUAUUCCAUGCUGAAUUAUUAGUUUAUACAUCGCUAGUUCCAGAGUCUCAAAAGUUAGGUUUCACCAGUAUUCAGAGUUCUCAUUGCUAUUCAGAGCAAUCGUUCGUUGUGUGAUCAGGUGCAUCACACAGUUUCAGUAACAAGAGGCCAUUCAGUCAGGCUCUUGUUACACACCCGACAAGUCACCCAGUUUCACCGGUGACACAU